This 484-nucleotide ribosomal RNA is filed under the name uncultured bacterium. RNAcentral describes it as "partial 16S ribosomal RNA". It matches the Rfam family "Bacterial small subunit ribosomal RNA", at positions 30 to 507 of the family's 1533-position model. The record is from RNAcentral.
AUUGAACGCUGGCGGCAUGCCUUACACAUGCGAGUCGAACGGCAGCGCGGACUUCGGUCUGGCGGCGAGUGGCGAACGGGUGAGUAAUACAUCGGAACGUACCCUGUUGUGGGGGAUAACUAGUCGAAAGAUUAGCUAAUACCGCAUACGACCUGAGGGUGAACGUGGGGGACCGCAAGGCCUCACGCAGCAGGAGCGGCCGAUGUCUGAUUAGCUAGUUGGUGGGGUAAAGGCCCACCAAGGCGACGAUCAGUAGCUAGUCUGAGAGGACGAUCAGCCACACUGGGACUGAGACACGGCCCAGACUCCUACGGGAGGCAGCAGUGGGGAAUUUUGGACAAUGGGGGCAACCCUGAUCCAGCAAUGCCGCGUGUGUGAAGAAGGCCUUCGGGUUGUAAAGCACUUUUGUCCGGAAAGAAAUCGCGCUGGUUAAUACCUGGCGUGGAUGACGGUACCGGAAGAAUAAGCACCGGCUAACUACGUG